GCAACUCGACUACAUGAAGCUGGAAUCGCUAGUAAUCGCGGAUCAGAAUGCCGCGGUGAAUACGUUCCCGGGUCUUGUACACACCGCCCGUCACACCAUGGGAGUCGGGAAUGCCCGAAGCCAGUGACCCAAGCGAGAGCAGGGAGCUGUCGAAGGCAGGCCGGAUAACUGGGGUGAAGUCGUAACAAGGUACC
RNAcentral lists this ribosomal RNA (194 nucleotides) under uncultured bacterium. Its description in RNAcentral is "partial 16S ribosomal RNA". It matches the Rfam family "Bacterial small subunit ribosomal RNA", at positions 1307 to 1500 of the family's 1533-position model. The record is from RNAcentral.